GAUGAACGCUAGCUACAGGCUUAACACAUGCAAGUCGCAGGGUAACAUGAGGAAAGCUUGCUUUCCUUGAUGACGACUGGCGCACGGGUGAGUAACGCGUAUCCAACCUUCCCAUAACUACGGGAUAACCCGUUGAAAGACGGCCUAAUACCGUAUGAUAUCGUUUGCUGACAUCAAAUAACGAUUAAAGGUUUAGCGGUUAUGGAUGGGGAUGCGUCUGAUUAGCUUGUUGGCGGGGUAACGGCCCACCAAGGCGACGAUCAGUAGGGGUUCUGAGAGGGAGGUCCCCCACAUGGGAACUGAGACACGGUCCAAACUCCUACGGGAGGCAGCAGUGAGGAAUAUUGGUCAAUGGGCGAGAGCCUGAACCAGCCAAGUAGCGUGCAGGAUGACGGCCCUAUGGGUUGUAAACUGCUUUUAUGUGGGGAUAAAGUGCGUGACGUGUCAUGCAUUGCAGGUACCACAUGAAUAAGGACCGGCUAAUUCCGUG
Molecule: ribosomal RNA, 490 nt
Filed under: uncultured bacterium
Lineage: Bacteria
Description: partial 16S ribosomal RNA
Rfam family: Bacterial small subunit ribosomal RNA
Source: RNAcentral